RNAcentral lists this ribosomal RNA (253 nucleotides) under uncultured bacterium. RNAcentral's name for it is "partial 16S ribosomal RNA". It matches the Rfam family "Bacterial small subunit ribosomal RNA", at positions 524 to 776 of the family's 1533-position model. The record is from RNAcentral.
UACGGAGGGUGCAAGCGUUAUCCGGAUUUACUGGGUUUAAAGGGUGCGUAGGUGGGUAGGUAAGUCAGUGGUGAAAUCUUCAAGCUUAACUUGGAAACUGCCAUUGAUACUAUUUAUCUUGAAUACUUUGGAGGUAAGCGGAAUAUGUCAUGUAGCGGUGAAAUGCUUAGAUAUGACAUAGAACACCAAUUGCGAAGGCAGCUUACUACACAGUUUUUGACACUGAGGCACGAAAGCGUGGGGAUCAAACAGG